CCUACGGGAGGCAGCAGUGAGGAAUAUUGGUCAAUGUGCGCGAGCCUGAACCAGCCAAGUAGCGUGAAGGAUGACUGCCCUACGGGUUGUAAACUCUUUUUAUAAAGGAAUAAAGUGAGGCACGUGUGUCUUUUUGCAUGUACUUUAUGAAUAAGGAUCGCCUAACUCCGGGCCAGCAGCCGCGGUAAUACGGAGGAUCCGAGCGUUAUCCGGAUUUAUUGGGUUUAAAGGGAGCGUAGAUGGGGUGUUAAGUCCGUUGUGAAAGUUUGCGGCUCAACCGUAAAAUUGCAAUUGAUACUGGCAGCCUUGAGUGCAGGUGAGGUAGGCGGAAUUCGUGGUGUAGCGGUGAAAUGCGUAGAUAUCACGAGGAACUCCGAUUGCGAAGGCAGCUUACUAAACUGCCACUGACGUUGAGGCUCGAAAGUGUGGGUAGCAAACAGGAUUAGAUACCCGAGUAGUC
RNAcentral lists this ribosomal RNA (460 nucleotides) under uncultured bacterium. RNAcentral describes it as "partial 16S ribosomal RNA". It matches the Rfam family "Bacterial small subunit ribosomal RNA", at positions 338 to 795 of the family's 1533-position model. The record is from RNAcentral.